Molecule: non-coding RNA, 30 nt
Filed under: Rattus norvegicus (Norway rat)
Lineage: Eukaryota; Metazoa; Chordata; Mammalia; Rodentia; Muridae
Source: RNAcentral
UAAGGGAUUACAGGAUGUCAUAUUGAAUGA